ACAAAGCUGCAAGAAAAAAAAAGGAUAAUUUUCCCAAAAAAACCAAAACCAAAUACAUUUCAGUAUUUACUAUCAAUUAUCAAUGUACAGGGGAUUUGUGAGCACUGCAUGUGGCCAAUCCAUAUGCAGGACAAUGGUGUAAACCCAAACUGGUUAAAGAAUCAUUACUGUAUAAAAGGAAGUCAUCAAGUCAAUGCGUUAAAUUAUGAUAUUCUUAGGAGCCA
Molecule: long non-coding RNA, 224 nt
Filed under: Glycine max (soybean)
Lineage: Eukaryota; Viridiplantae; Streptophyta; Magnoliopsida; Fabales; Fabaceae
Description: long non-coding RNA (GMAX_LNC001260)
Source: RNAcentral